This 628-nucleotide long non-coding RNA is filed under the name Saimiri boliviensis boliviensis (Bolivian squirrel monkey). RNAcentral's name for it is "lncRNA (ENSSBOG00000036707.1)". The record is from RNAcentral. Lineage: Eukaryota; Metazoa; Chordata; Mammalia; Primates; Cebidae.
AAGGAAGACGUUCCUCCAGGAGCCUUUCACCGAGCUCAGGCCUGAGGCUUAGGAGACCCGAAGGUGCGAGAUCCCGACAGCCUCGGCAGCCUCGGAGGGAUGAGGUAGCUUCCAGACCCUCAGGGCCACUUUGGGGGCCCCUACCGGGGAAGGAGAAAUGGUCUUGUUUUACCGCCAUGGAGCUCUGAACUACGACAUCCUCCGCCAACGUCAAGCAGGACUUCAGCGGGACUGGAUGUGGCUCAUGACAGCCACUUCCACAUUGUUCCCAGAAGGGGGAGCCAAAGGGCAGGAGGUCGCAGAGGCAGGAGCCUUCCAUCUCUUGUGCGAGUGAGACGAGCCGCUGGUCUUCUCUUCCGCAAGUCACCAGUCGGGAGUCAAAGUCCACCCACAGAUGCUGCAGAAAGCGACAGAGCUUGCUUCGAAAGCCUGAACAUCACUGCGGUCUGGGGUUGUAAGCGGGCACGAGGGGCUCAUGGGAGGGUGGCGUAAGUGCCUUCCUGCCCAUCCUCAAGCCGGGUCCUGGAGCCAGCUACCUACCUCAGCAAUUUCCCCGUUGUCAGUUCCAGGCCAGGGAAGACUUGUAAGAUCACUCGCAAGUAGAAUGUGCGGUCAGAGUUGAGGGGAG